This 462-nucleotide ribosomal RNA is filed under the name uncultured bacterium. RNAcentral's name for it is "partial 16S ribosomal RNA". It matches the Rfam family "Bacterial small subunit ribosomal RNA", at positions 29 to 523 of the family's 1533-position model. The record is from RNAcentral.
AACGAACGCUGGCGGCAGGCUUAACACAUGCAAGUCGAACGCCCCGCAAGGGGAGUGGCGCACGGGUGAGGAACACGUGGGGAUCUGCCCUUCAAUACGGAACAACACCGGGAAACUGGUGCUAAUACCGGAUAUACCUUUUGGUCUUGGCGACCGAUUGGGAAAGAUUUAUCGCUGAAGGAUGAACCCGCGUCUGAUUAGCUAGUUGGUGAGGUAACGGCUCACCAAGGCGACGAUCAGUAGCUGGUCUGAGAGGACGAUCAGCCACACUGGAACUGAGACACGGUCCAGACUCCUACGGGAGGCAGCAGUGGGGAAUAUUGGACAAUGGGCGAAAGCCUGAUCCAGCCAUGCCGCGUGAGUGAUGAAGGCCUUCGGGUUGUAAAGCUCUUUUAGAUGGGAAGAUAAUGACGGUACCAUCAGAAUAAGCCCCGGCUAACUUCGUGCCAGCCGCCGCAGUAA